This 1369-nucleotide ribosomal RNA is filed under the name uncultured bacterium. RNAcentral's name for it is "bacterial SSU rRNA". It matches the Rfam family "Bacterial small subunit ribosomal RNA", at positions 28 to 1381 of the family's 1533-position model. The record is from RNAcentral.
GACGAACGCUGGCGGCGUGCCUAAUACAUGCAAGUAGAACGCUGAAGAGAGGAGCUUGCUCUUCUUGGAUGAGUUGCGAACGGGUGAGUAACGCGUAGGUAACCUGCCUUGUAGCGGGGGAUAACUAUUGGAAACGAUAGCUAAUACCGCAUAACAAUGGAUGACACAUGUCAUUUAUUUGAAAGGGGCAAUUGCUCCACUACAAGAUGGACCUGCGUUGUAUUAGCUAGUAGGUGAGGUAAUGGCUCACCUAGGCGACGAUACAUAGCCGACCUGAGAGGGUGAUCGGCCACACUGGGACUGAGACACGGCCCAGACUCCUACGGGAGGCAGCAGUAGGGAAUCUUCGGCAAUGGGGGCAACCCUGACCGAGCAACGCCGCGUGAGUGAAGAAGGUUUUCGGAUCGUAAAGCUCUGUUGUAAGUCAAGAACGGGUGUGAGAGUGGAAAGUUCACACUGUGACGGUAGCUUACCAGAAAGGGACGGCUAACUACGUGCCAGCAGCCGCGGUAAUACGUAGGUCCCGAGCGUUGUCCGGAUUUAUUGGGCGUAAAGCGAGCGCAGGCGGUUUGAUAAGUCUGAAGUUAAAGGCUGUGGCUCAACCAUAGUUCGCUUUGGAAACUGUCAAACUUGAGUGCAGAAGGGGAGAGUGGAAUUCCAUGUGUAGCGGUGAAAUGCGUAGAUAUAUGGAGGAACACCGGUGGCGAAGGCUGCUCUCUGGUCUGUAACUGACGCUGAGGCUCGAAAGCGUGGGGAGCGAACAGGAUUAGAUACCCUGGUAGUCCACGCCGUAAACGAUGAGUGCUAGGUGUUGGAUCCUUUCCGGGAUUCAGUGCCGCAGCUAACGCAUUAAGCACUCCGCCUGGGGAGUACGACCGCAAGGUUGAAACUCAAAGGAAUUGACGGGGGCCCGCACAAGCGAUGGAGCAUGUGGUUUAAUUCGAAGCAACGCGAAGAGCCUUACCAGGUCUUGACAUCCCGAUGCUAUUUCUAGAGAUAGAAAGUUACUUCGGUACAUCGGUGACAGGUGGUGCAUGGUUGUCGUCAGCUCGUGUCGUGAGAUGUUGGGUUAAGUCCCGCAACGAGCGCAACCCCUAUUGUUAGUUGCCAUCAUUCAGUUGGGCACUCUAGCGAGACUGCCGGUAAUAAACCGGAGGAAGGUGGGGAUGACGUCAAAUCAUCAUGCCCCUUAUGACCUGGGCUACACACGUGCUACAAUGGUUGGUACAACGAGUUGCGAGUCGGUGACGGCGAGCUAAUCUCUUAAAGCCAAUCUCAGUUCGGAUUGUAGGCUGCAACUCGCCUACAUGAAGUCGGAAUCGCUAGUAAUCGCGGAUCAGCACGCCGCGGUGAAUACGUUCCCGGGCCU